ACGCGACAAGGGCAAACGGAGGGGAAACCCCCGGACGCAAAGCUACGAGGCUAACGCGCGAUCCGUCGCGCCACGCUCGUCGGGCCGCCGAA
Molecule: non-coding RNA, 92 nt
Filed under: Gemmatimonadota bacterium
Lineage: Bacteria; Pseudomonadati; Gemmatimonadota
Description: Gemmatimonadetes bacterium c-di-GMP sequence
Rfam family: c-di-GMP-I riboswitch aptamer
About the family: GEMM was predicted in a large-scale screen for bacterial structured RNA regulatory elements. Genes associated with GEMM are involved in a diverse array of functions, including chemotaxis regulation, signal transduction, secretion and chitin.
Source: RNAcentral